This 404-nucleotide ribosomal RNA is filed under the name uncultured prokaryote. RNAcentral describes it as "bacterial SSU rRNA". It matches the Rfam family "Bacterial small subunit ribosomal RNA", at positions 355 to 774 of the family's 1533-position model. The record is from RNAcentral.
UGGGGAAUAUUGCACAAUGGGCGAAAGCCUGAUGCAGCAACGCCGCGUGAGCGAUGAAGGCCUUUGGGUCGUAAAGCUCUGUCCUUGGGGACGAAAAAAAUGACGGUACCCUUGGAGGAAGCCCCGGCUAACUACGUGCCAGCAGCCGCGGUAAUACGUAGGGGGCGAGCGUUAUCCGGAAUUAUUGGGCGUAAAGAGUACGUAGGUGGUUUUUUAAGCGCAGGGUUUAAGGCAAUGGCUCAACUGUUGUUCGCCCUGUGAACUGGGAGACUUGAGUACAGGAGAGGAAAGCGGAAUUCCUAGUGUAGCGGUGAAAUGCGUAGAUAUUAGGAGGAACACCAGUGGCGAAGGCGGCUUUCUGGACUGUAACUGACACUGAGGUACGAAAGCGUGGGGAGCAAACA